CAGGAGAUAGAGAAAGGUUCAAGUAAGCUUCCGUCCAGUCUGGAAAAGUCAUCCUACACUACUUUAGUCUGGGACAAUAACGACUUCGGGGAAAGAACACUUUCAGGAAAAGGGACGACACAUAAUACCAAUGGGAUAGCUGUACAACAUGCACAUCUUGCUGCUGUAAUCCCUCAAGCUUUACCAGCUCAGAGUAUGAAGAAGACAAGACAACGAUCUUUGCCUGCACCUGCUACAAUACUGGUGAGAUUCACUGGCCAGAGGAAGUCAUCGCCAGAGGCAUUUGAUGAUUCUGUGGCGCUUGAGAUGAGUCAGUACGAUGAUGUUCUACAUUCUAACAAAGAAAAGGAUGCAGCCUUCUAUGUUGCAAAAUCGUCACAGGAACGACUACUGCCAUCUUGGACUGGAUUUAAUCAACUGCUUUCGUCCAAUAUCCCUCCUAAGGCAACAAUAGCUUACUUGCCAGUGAUAGAUGCAAGCCCAACAGAUUUUAACACCGUCCAUACAGUACUACACCGAAGUCUGGAGAUAGCAGAUCAGUUGGCACUUCCAGCCAUUGUGAUAGUGGUUGAUCAGGCCAUUUAUUGCAAAGCUCAAACAAUUCGCUGGCAAGAACCAACAUUUCUGAAGAAGAUAGUCAUUCGACUAGGGGCUUUCCACACAACAAUGACGGCACUCGCUUGUAUUGGAAAGCGAUUUCAGGAGGCAGGACUGCAAGAUAUUCUUAUUGAGGCAGGUGUUGUAGCUACAGGCUCAGUGACUGGUGUGAUGAAUGGCCACAACUACAAUAGAAGUAUCAGAUGCCAUAAGCUUAUGGCCGAAGCACUUCAUCGCUUGCGCUGGCAGAGCUUCAUGGGUUCCUUGGAAGAGGAGAGGCAGCAUCAGUACAGAGAAGUAGUGGCAUCUCUACAGGGAUCAUUUCCAAGUGAAUUCACCAACCAAGUUCAAGGAGAGUUGUACCAAGCAAUGGUCAAGGAGUACAAAGAUUUCAUUGAAGAAGGAAAGAAGGAUGCUACUUUCACAUUUUGGUCUUCCUAUCUAGAUUUGGUUGGAAAUAUCCUCCUGUUCAUACGUGCAACACGAGAAGGAGAUUGGCAACUGCAUCUUGCUUCAGUCAGAGCCCUGCUUCCUUGGAUGUUUGCCUAUGACAGAACAAAUUAUGCACGGUACCUGCCAGUUUAUUGGAUCGAGAUGAGCCAACUUCCAACCACUCAUCCAUACAUUUACAACGAGUUGAUGAAGGGUCACUUUGGAGUGCAACGCCAAGACAGUCAUGGGUUUGCUCAGGUAGCAUGUGACAUGACUAUUGAGCAGACAGUCAAUAGGGAUACGAAGACCAGCGGCGGUGUAAAGGGGUUCUCUAACAACCAAGGGGCGACAAACCGCUGGGUCAGAGGCCACCACGAGAGAGCCCUGAUCACAAGACAGUGUGAAGUGAUGGCUGGAAAGGGCGAGAAGUCUUCAAAAAGAGUAGACUUAACAAAAAGCAGAAUGACAAGGGACCAGCAGGAUGUAGCCAAUAUCAUGAGUACCAUCAACAGCAUGACAAAUCCCUUUGUGGUCGAUCGAGAGACAGAUGCUGAUGAUCUUGUGCAUCUCUCAUCAGGCAUUGUUGCGUCAGUCAGUGUGUGCUCAGAUCUUCUGAAAGCAGGCGAGAAGGGGGACAAAGCAUUCAUCAACUUUGCCAAAACCAGACUACAAGGAGAUACCGAUCUUAACAAGACCAUCACCAAGAUGAAACUUAAGACAUUUGCCGAUUCUGACAAGGCAAAAGUCAACAUUAAAGGGAGAGAAGUUGUGCUUAAGAGCGCCCGGGAGUUACUGGCAAGGCUCAUCAUCAUAGGCCGUGUACGCAAAGUUGACCAACGCAAGAUGCUCAGUUACUCCUUAAGCACAUACCCACCAGCCAUUUGUAAAGAAGAUGGAUGUUUGGUCAAGAACAACAAGGCUGCCCUCCUUCACCAGUUGGAAAAUUUGCCAGAGUCAUCCCCAACAGUGGAUCGUCUGCUGGAGUCAGUAUGGAUUGUUGAUGGUAUGGCAUUGCUUCAAGGCCUAAUACCAAGUCGGAUGCCUGCUACCAUGGGACAGUUGGCCAAGAAAAUCCUGAAGGAUGUAGUCUACCUAGCCAGAAGCUCCAGUUCUGAUCAAGUCCACUUUGUCACGGACACAUACCCACCUGUCAGCAUCAAAGGUGCAGAGAGAAAAAGGCGUGCUGCAAGUGGGUCGCAGCGUAUAAAGAUUACAAACCAAGACCAACCCGUUCCAAAGCAAUGGAAGAAAUUCUUAGCAAAUGGCUUCAAUAAGCAACACUUUGCCAAGUUUUUAUAUGAGUCGUGGAGUGCUUGUGGUGAGGAUGAAUUCAAGGGAGUUGAUGUAUAUCUGGCUCAUUCUGAAGAAUGCCACAAGUUAUCUUGUCGUAGUGGUACCACGGUCAGUGAAGCGAUUCCAGAGCUAUACACUACUCAAGAGGAAGCCGACACGAGGAUGAUGCUACACGCAAAGUACAUCAGCAACAUGGGUAGGAAGGACAUCAUCAUUAAGAGCCCGGACACUGACGUAUUCGUCAUUGGCAUUGGCAUAGCUGCCCAACUUGAGGGUUCCAAGUUGUAUUUCCAUACUGGCAAGCAAGAUAAGGAACGGACAAUCAAUUUGAAUGCCAUUCAAUGUCAUCUUGGAGAUCAAAUCAGCGAUGCAAUCGUAGGCCUGCACCCAUUCACAGGUUGUGAUUCCGUCAGUGCUUUGUAUGGACGGGGGAAGACUAAGCCCUUUACGCUGAUGUCGCAGACUACAAAGUUUAUCAAGGCAUUUCAGGAGCUUGGGAAAGCAUUCACCCUUACUGAUGACCUGGUUUCUACUCUGGAGGAGUUUGUUUGCAAGUUGUAUGGGAUGAAGGAAAUCAGUAAGGUGAAUGAAGCAAGAUAUGCUUUUUUUUCCAUGGCGACGAGACAAGAAGACAUGCCACCAAACAAGGAUGCCCUCAUGAAGCACAUCCAAAGGGCCAACUAUCAAACUGCUAUUUGGAGGCGCUGCCUUGAGAGCCAGCCAGAUGUUCCGUCACCAGUUGGGCGAGGUUGGCAAUCGGUCGAUGGAGGGCUUCGAAUAGACUGGAUGGAUAUGCAACCUGCUCAACAGAGCAUCCUUGAACUUACUUCAUGCAAGUGCAAAAAGUCCAAAUGUAAAGUCACAGGAGUAGAUGCCCAGUGUUGUGCGCCUUUGGGCCUUCCCUGCACAGAACUGUGUGAGUGCAAGAACUGCGACAACAUGGCUGUGCCAGGUGAGGAACCAAUCAUUGGAGAAGAAGAAGAAGCAGAAGCUGAUGAAGGUGACAACUGUGACGAUGAGGAGAACUUUGAAGAAGAGGAGUUAUUUUAACAUGUUCAGCCUAAGAUGAUGACAUGAGAACCAGGUCCCAACAUCUCCCAGCACUACAACAUGCGCUACCAAGUCCCAACAGCUCCCAGCACUACAACAUGUGCUAUGAGAACCAGUCCCCAGCAUUAUAACAUAUGCUAUGAGAACCAGGUCCCAACAGCUCCCAGCACUUCAACAUGCGCUAUGAGAACCAGGUCCCAACAGCUCCCAGCACUACAACAUGUGCUAUGAGAACCAAGUCCCAACAGCUCCCAGCAGCAUGGAUCGGCCGUAAUUACCACCGGUGACAUGAAAGAACCUAAAGAUGAUGACAUGAGAACCAUGCAGGUCCCCACAGCUCCCAGCACUACAACAUGCGCUAUGAGAACCAAGUCCCAACAGCUCCCAGCACUAUACAACAUGUGCUAUGAGAACCAAGUCCCCAGCAUUAUAACAUAUGCUAUGAGAACCAGGUCCCAACAGCUCCCAGCACUACAACAUGCGCUAUGAGAACCAGGUCCCAACAGCUCCCAGCACUACAACAUGCGCUAUGAGAACCAGGUCCCAACAGCUCCCAGCACUACAACAUGCGCUAUGAGAACCAGGUCCCAACAGCUCCCAGCACUACAACAUGCGCUAUGAGAACCAGGUCCCAACAGCUCCCAGCACUUCAAC
RNA transcript from Strongylocentrotus purpuratus (purple sea urchin), 4026 nucleotides. RefSeq lists it as uncharacterized. The record is from RefSeq and is a predicted model, not a curated record. NCBI's taxonomy places the organism in Eukaryota, Metazoa, Echinodermata, Echinoidea, Camarodonta, Strongylocentrotidae. The transcript has 4 exons.